Equus caballus (horse) is the source of this 2086-nucleotide long non-coding RNA. Lineage: Eukaryota; Metazoa; Chordata; Mammalia; Perissodactyla; Equidae. The record is from Ensembl.
AUCGGGGUUCAGCCUCCCUUCCUCCUGGAGAAGGUUCCCCACUCCACACCACGUCUGGCUCAGUAUCGAUGCUCAGGAAAUACUUCCUGAGGCGUGAACAGCUGCAUGAGGACUAUCCACAUCUGGCUGGUUUUCGGUCCCCAAAUUGCACAGCAGGGACGGAGGCACCGUCCCACCUCACGUCCCUGUGGCCUCCAGUCUGGAUCCCCGCGGCAGACCCCGCCCUGGUCUCCUCACCUCCCCUCUGGUCUUCCGGCCGCUUCCUCCAGCUCUGCUGAACUCUUGAGCCUUUCUGCGCUGGUUGGGCUUGCCAGCCUCUGGGCCUUUGCCCGUGCUGUGCCCUUGACCUGAGCCCUCGGCCCCCUUGUCCUUCACGCCUGGACUCCAGCGGCUCCAGCGGGCUGCCUGGACACCGCCCAGCCUCUUCCCGGAGCUCUGGUUCCUCCCCUGCUCGUGCUCUCCUGGCACCUCUGCGUAUUCUGUCCCCGGGACAGAGCCUGUCAACCUGGAUUACAGUCAUUUGUGUCCCCUCUGUCCGCCCUGUGGCCUCUCAGUAUCUUGGGCUGAAAGGCCCUUUAUUUCUCAUCUCGUGUCGCGGUGCCUCCAGCAGGGGAGGCGCCUGGAUGCCUGUGACACAAGCGAGGGGAUGAAUCGGACUGAGCGCGAGGAGCAGCGAGUGGUCCGCCCUACCUUAGGGGGCGGGCAGUGGUUUUCGCAUCUGCUGGCUCCCUUCCAGGACGCGGGGGCCCGAAGAACGAGGAGGCUGGAGGGACACUGACGAGCAGAGCCUGAGGGGGCUGUCCAGUGGCUUCCUGGUCUGCCCUUUGCAGGUCUGAGCCGAAGGACCCAAGAGAGGAGGAAGGAAGAAGCUUGUCCAGGUCACACAGUACGUGGGGGCGCCUCCCCCCGCAGCCCCAAGAUCUGGCUAGUGUCCCCGGUCCGUUUGCUCAACGAGGCUCUGGAGCCUGGGAGGCCAGAACUGGGGGUGUGGUGGGGAAAGGAGGCGGGAGAGGAGACCGCGCCCCCGGGGAGAAGAUGACAACCUCCACUUCCAGCACAGCCCUGUGUGCCAGGCCCUGGCCCGCUGCUCUGACCCACCACCCCGAAUGCCCAGCACAGCCCCGGGGGGCAGGUGCCGUUGACAGAUGAAGGAGCUGAGGUCCAGCAGCCCCAGGUCCCACAGCCGGUAGAGCUGCCAUUUGACCCCAAGCCCUCCCAGCCCAAAGGCUGUGAGCUUUCUACUACAUCAGGAUGCCUCUUUCAUGAAACGCAGCAGCAUCUGGGUCCGGUCUUGGCCUCAGCGGUGGCCAGUCCAAAAGGGCAGCAAACCUGAUGUUUUCUCAGGUACCCAGAGAACAUCUUGUAGUUUGUGUUUUUCAACGUGGACGGGAAACCUCUGGGUCCCCAGGCCCUUGAAGAAGUUCCUUUUCCCAGUGGAGCAGUUACGGCAAGAGGAAGGAGCACAGAGACCAGGCAGGGGGCUCAGAUGCAGAGGAUUCCAUCCACCUUGUGAUGGCGCUAACACAAGAGGCCAAAGGCCACAUUAAUAGAGGUGGAGUGUCGAGGAGGAGAGAGGUGAUUACUCUGUCAGGUGUUGCAGGGGUCAAACAACAGUCUGAGCAGAGUCCACUCCUGGGACCUCACAUGGAGAGAGAUGUGGCCUGGUGAGGGGGCUGGGAAGUUUUAGCCCAGAGAAGACACAGCAGGAAACGAGGACUGUCAUCAAUACCUCAAGAGCUCUCCAGUGGAUGAGCAAUUAGACAGACUCCUUCUGGUUCUAAGAGCUGGGCAAGGACCAGCAGCUGGAGGGCACAGGAAGACAGAUUUCACAACUCUCCUCUCAAGGCACCAGGGGGCCCUCGGGGAGUAAGGCCUCCGUCCCAGAAGUCAUUCAACUGAGAUGAUAAAAAGAUGGCUUGGCUCCAAACCAGACCCAAAUGAAUGGAGGGAAGGCAGCAGGAUGCAGUGUUUGCAAAAUACCAGGUAAAUUUCCUGGGUGUGCAGGCCACUGUGGGGGGCGUGGGGGUCAAGGAGGUUGUGACCCAAAUGCCCCAUGUCACAUAAUGUCACUGACUUAACAGCAGCC